This 251-nucleotide ribosomal RNA is filed under the name uncultured prokaryote. RNAcentral's name for it is "partial 16S ribosomal RNA". It matches the Rfam family "Bacterial small subunit ribosomal RNA", at positions 525 to 775 of the family's 1533-position model. The record is from RNAcentral.
ACGUAGGACGCAAGCGUUAUCCGGAAUUACUGGGCGUAAAGGGCGUGUAGGCGGCCCGGUAAGUCAACCGUGAAAGCUCCCGGCUAAACUGGGAGAGGUCGGAUGAGACUGCCGAGCUAGAGGGUCGUAGAGGGGUGUGGAAUUCCGGGUGUAGUGGUGAAAUGCGUAGAGAUCCGGAGGAACACCAGAGGCGAAGGCGACACCCUGGGCCGUACCUGACGCUAAGACGCGACAGCACGGGGAGCGAACGG